RNAcentral lists this long non-coding RNA (1458 nucleotides) under Myripristis murdjan (pinecone soldierfish). RNAcentral's name for it is "lncRNA (ENSMMDG00005000008.1)". The record is from RNAcentral. Lineage: Eukaryota; Metazoa; Chordata; Actinopteri; Holocentriformes; Holocentridae.
AACCUCCCAUGGCUGUGCUGCUGCUUCCUCGGUGUCCUGUGUCACUGGUCCCACCAGCUCAUCAGCGGUCAGGCAGCCCUCAGUCCACGCUGCCGCUGCCCGGUGGCCUGGAGUGGACGUUGCCACUGCCCGGCGGCCUGGAGUGGACGUUGCCGCUGCCCGGCGGUCCCGCGCCCACGUUGCCGCUGCCCGGCGGUCCCGAGCCCACGUUGCCGCUGCCCAGCGGUCCCGAGUCCACACUGCCACUGCUGCUGCCGCUGCUGCUGCCGCUGCCCGGCGGUCCCGAGUCCACGCUGCCGCUGCUGCUGCCGCUGCCCGGCGGUCCCGAGUCCACGCUGCCGCUGCCGCUGCCCGGCGGUCCCGAGUCCACGCUGCCGCUGCCGCUGCCUCUGCCCGGCGGUCCCGAGUCCACGCUGCCACUGCCGCUGCCGCUGCCCGGCGGUCCCGAGUCCAUGAUGCCGCUGCCCGGCGGUCCCGAGUCCAUGAUGCCGCUGCCCGGCGGUCCCAAGUCCAUGAUGCCGCUGCCCGGCGGUCCCAAGUCCGCGCUGCCGCUGCCGCUGCCCGGCAGUCCCGAGUCCACGCUGCCGCUGCCCGGCGAUCCUGAGUCCCCGUUGCCGCUGCUCGGCUUCCGGGGAUCUGCGUUGCUGGACUGCAUGGUUGGCCUGCAGUCGGGUGCCGCCCGCACUGCCGCCAUUCAGGGAGGUUCCGCCUUGGCCGCCAGCGCUCUGGCCGUCCGCCCGAGCGCCACCCCGUGCCUGGUUCCCGGUGCCUGGGCCGUCCACCCAAGCGCCUCCCCGUGCCUGGUUCCCGGUGCCCCGGCCGUCCGCCCGAGCGCCACCCCGUGCCUGGUUCCCAGCGCCCCAGCCAUCCGCCCGAGCGUCGCCCCGUGCCUGGUUCUUGGCGCCCUGGCCGUCCGCCAGAGCAUUACCCCGUCCUUGGUUCCCUGCGCCCCGGUCGUCCGCCCAAGUGCCGUUCCGUCCUUGGUCACCUGCCCUCCAGCCUUCCACCUGACUCUGGCUCUGAGCCCUGUGCUUUGGCCUCCUCCUCCCCCCGUCUUAUGACGGCCAUCCAUCCUCGGGCCCCUGAUACAGUUUUUGGGACGUCAAGAGCCGUCCCUUGAGGGGGGGGUUCUGUCAUGGUUUUGUGUUUUGUUUGGUUCUGUUUCAUGUGUGUUUCUGUCAUGGUUUUGUUUCUUCUGUUUUGUUUGAUUCUGUUUCAUGUGUUUCAUCUGCCUCGUUCUUUUUAGUGAUUUCACCUGUGUCUUGUUUGCUCCUCCCUGUGCCACACCUGUCCUGUGUCUGUUAAUCAUCCCUGAUUGUUCUGAUCCCUCCCAGUGUUUUACCUCAGCCUAUCCUCUGUGUUCUCCUGUCUUGUGCUCCAGCCCCUUCCCCAGGUGUGUCUUGUUUGAUGAUUAGUUCUUGUCUAUUUAAGUCCUGUUUGAGUUCUGUUCUUCGUCGG